Molecule: long non-coding RNA, 1138 nt
Filed under: Malus domestica (apple)
Lineage: Eukaryota; Viridiplantae; Streptophyta; Magnoliopsida; Rosales; Rosaceae
Description: long non-coding RNA (MDOM_LNC012957)
Source: RNAcentral
AAUAAAUUUAGUUACACAUUAUUAAAACAGAAAUAAAAUAUAAGUUUGGAAAGAUUUAACCGAGAGAGAAGAGUGCUUCAGUGCUCUGUCUGCCCAGCCUUUGAACCCCUGCCUCUGACCUCUAUAUUUGUUUAUCCCUCCAGUCAGUCCUCCCGUGCUGCUCUCUGUUUUCUGAUCCCGUCAGUCUCUCUCACCCCUCUCUCUCUCUCUCGGUUUAUGCUGGUCUGUCUCUUCUUUAUUUUCUGCUUCUGACCUCUGUCAGUCUCCCCCCUCUGCUCUCUGACCUGCCCUCUUAUUCCCCCAUUUCCUGCGCCUCUCUCCCCGCAUCUACAUCUUUAUUUUCUGCUUUUUCUCGUCCUCUGCCCGUGUGGACCGUGCUUCUCUCUCUUCACAACAUGAAUCAUGAUGAUGUUUCAAACAUCAUCAUGACUUAUCAUUAUUAUUUUUUUUAAUUUAAUUUAAAAUCUGAUCUACACAGACAGUUUUGACGAAUUUAUUACAUAAAAUUUCACUUGUUCUAUUUUUAUUUUCUUUGCAUAACAAAUCCUAUAAACACAAAAAUAACGUAAAUAGCUCAAAAAUAUAAGGAACUAACUAAGAAAAGACGAGUGAAUUCGAAGUAAAAAUAUAUAUAAAUAUGAUCUGAUCAUGUAUAAAGUAUACAAACGAAAUAUAUGACGAUAUAUUGUUUUAGAAACUGCUUCAAAAAGGUGUUUUGAAUGAAGGGGUUCUUAUAGAACCAAUGAUUGAAUCCAAACCAUAAGGUCGUUAGUAGGAUACUACGACGUAAUGGGGCGAUAGCUCAAGCCAUGGAAUCAAGGUCUCAUCAAAGUAUUCGAACACAAUAAAGAGACAUCAUCAAAUGUUUUGGAAACAUUUGAUAAGAAAAUCCCUUUUAAAUAAUAAAAGGGAUUAAUACAUAACCAAGUUAACCUACGAGCAUAAAGCUCUCUCAACAAGAUGUAUAAGAUACACUAGUGAUUGACUUUAGUGCAAGUGGGAGAUUGUUGGAAAUAUGCCCUGAAAGUCAAUCUUUGGAAGAAACCUUUCAGGACAAAUAAAUCGAUGUAUAGAUGAAUCUUAUACAUCAAAAUGGCAAAGAUACUAAUUAGGACUAUCUCAAUAAACGAUAUAUGUC